UGCUUUAAUUGUUAAUUCCAUUCACUUGAAGUUCAAAGUUAAAACAAAUAAAAUUCAUGAAUUCACUGGGUUUAGAUACAGAAUCAUAGAAACUGGAGGAAUUAGAAUUCCUCAAAAUAAGACAUACUAUCUACUAUUUAAUAACCUAAAGAAAUCCUAACAUCACUUCUUCCAGCAUCACACUGAUGAGUCAAAAGCAGCUUCUCAUCCAGAACUAAAAGCAAGCAUCCAGCAUGCAACAACAGCAGAGUGCAGCCAAACUGCAAUACAAAACACAAAUUUCAAUUAUUCUCUUCUACAAACACAUCAAUAUUAGAACAUCAACAAAGAUUAAUAGAUAAAGAUCAAAUCAUAGAAGCAAACAAAUACACACAUGUGGCAGAUCUUAAGGUUAUCAUGAUUAAACAAUGUAUAUGUGUAUUCCUAAAUCAAUUUGUCAUAUAUCCAAAAAUCAUUAGGAUUUCCUGUUUAUAUGCUUAAUAUAGCAUGCUUAUAUUUGAAUUAAGAGAAAACAUGAUGUGAUUAAUUAAUAAAUUAAUUCCAACAAUUAUUUCCUAAUUCAACAAAAUUCAUAUUUGAUCAAAUUGCAAAACAUAUCCUAAGAAUUUUAAGAUUUCAUUGUUUAUUAUUAUGACCAUUAAACAUGUCCAUAAUUAAAAAUCAAUUCCAACCAUCACAUCCAUUGACUCCUACUUCCAAAUUCAACAAAAAUCAGGUUGAUUUAACAUGCAAAAUAUUAUAAUAUCUAAAAGAUGCCUUAUUUUCCACAUCAAUCAAUGAUUUCAGCAACUCAGCAAUUUUUUUUUUUUUUUUUUUUUUUGUAACAUUCCCAGAUCGGAAUUGUUGAAGUCCACCUACUCUGACUAAAAAUUCAGAAUCUUCGAAUAAAAACAAAAUAAAUAAAUCAUAAAAGGAAACACAUUUUUCAACAAUAACACAUGCAGAGCAAAAAAAAAAGGAAAGGAGACAUACCAUCCUUCAAGAAACCCAACUUCUUUGUUCUGCUGAGGCUGUUGAGCAUACUGUUGAGGUGGGUAACCUUGUUGAGGGUACCCUUGUUGAGGAUAUCCUUGAGGAGGGUACCCUUGUUGAGGGUAACCUUGUUGAGGGUACCCUGGUGGAGGAUAAGCAUCUUUUGGUGGAUACCCUUUAAUAAAAAAAAAAACACAAGAUUCAAUAAUCAAAAUCAAAUUUUUGUAACAACCCAUGAAUCAAAAACAAGAAAAGAAAGAAACUUGAAAACAAAAGAAGAAGUGGGUUACCUUGUGGUGGUGGAACACCAACAGGAGGUUGUUGUUGAUGAUCGUAGUAGCUCAUAAUGUUGUUGAUGAAACUGAAAAGUGAUUAUGAAAAAUAAGCGAUUUUUUU
Molecule: long non-coding RNA, 1368 nt
Filed under: Medicago truncatula (barrel medic)
Lineage: Eukaryota; Viridiplantae; Streptophyta; Magnoliopsida; Fabales; Fabaceae
Description: lncRNA gene25710
Source: RNAcentral